Sapajus apella (tufted capuchin) is the source of this 1966-nucleotide long non-coding RNA. RefSeq lists it as uncharacterized. NCBI's taxonomy places the organism in Eukaryota, Metazoa, Chordata, Mammalia, Primates, Cebidae. The transcript has 2 exons. The record is from RefSeq and is a predicted model, not a curated record.
AAAAGAUUAUUAGAUCAGCUUGGCUUUUUUCAGGCAGUUUUGUACAUGUAAAUUUGAGUAUCCCUAAUUUGAAAAUCUGGUAUCUGAAAUGCUCCAAAAUCUGCAACUUUUUGAGCACCAACAUGAUGCUCAAAAGAGCAUUUCACAUUUCAGAUUAGGAAUACUCAACCAGUCAGUAUAAUGCAAAUAUUCUAAAAUCCUUUAAAAAACUGAAAUUGGAAACACUUCUGGUCCUAAGCAUUUUGGAUAAGGGAUACUCAACCUAUGUCUAAUAUCAGAGCUUGCGGGCAAGGAGUGGUAAUUAGAAUGAAAGGGGCAGGUAAAAAAAUGGAGGGAUUUUUCUGUUGUACAUAAAUAGGAAUUUAGACUUGAUGUGAUAGACAAGAGGCGGUGUUCUAGAUUCUUGAGUGGGAUGGUGCUACACAGGUGACAAACUCAUACCUCUGCCUUAAGGCAGGACUUCGUUUUAUUGUAUACUUAAAAGACCUUUAAGAAAAGCUCACGUUCUUCUUCCCGCACCCAGUGACUGAAGUCAUAAAUUUGAGAGUUACACUGUUUUCUUCCUUCUCUCCUGAUGCUAAUAAGUUACCAAGUCUUUCAGUUUUUGCUUUUAAAUAUUGGUUAAAACAGUUCCCCCUCUUUAUCCGUACCACUACACUCUAGUAAGUUCUCAUCAUCAUUUACCUGAAAAGUACAAUAGGCUUCUAAUUUAUUUCCCCGUCUCAUCUGCCUUCUAUAUUACUGUUAGAGUAAUUGUUCAAAAAACAAAUCUCUUGUACCAUAUUCCUUUACAGAAUCCUUCAGUGGUUUCCCAUUACUUAGGAUAAAGUCUGGACUCUUUAGCAUGUCAUUCACAGCAAUUUGCCACCUCAUUGCCAGCACUCAGGAAAUAUAUGUUAUAUAGCCUAUACCUUAGCCAUAAUGAAGAUAAUAUGUUCUUUCAUAACUUUGCAUAUGUUACUCUCUUUUAUGCUUAUAAUUCUUUUUUCAAAUUGAUCAGCCUUGCAAAUUCACAUGAAUCUUUUAAUACACAUCAAAUGUAACCUCUCUGUUUCCUGCCCAUUCCCUUUUCCCUCCUCCAGUUAGCAUUCCUUUUAUUACUUUUCUGGUAAUUGCCUGUAUACAAGUCUGCUCACCCCAUUAGACUGUGAGAUCACUGAGGACAAGUACUGUAUAUUCAUUCAUCCUUGUAUUUCCAGCAUCUAGUACAGUGUCUGGCAAAUUUACAUUCAGCAAAUUUUUAAAAAAACCGAUCUAAAUUAAUUCCUUGACAUAGUUAAAAAUUUGGCUUUGGUAGCUGAAAGAAUUGAUAGUAAUUCCUUUUUCACUUUUUAUGAAUAUUUGCCUCUUCAAAUUUUUUAUGAUUUUCAAAUUGCUUGGGAUUUUUAUAAAUGGUUAAACUGUUUUCUCUCAUACAGCACAAGGCCUUACUUGUAAUCAUGAGAAGUGGAAUAUUACUAUGAUUCAUGUCCUAGGCAUAGAGAGUUGUAAAUAAGAAGGUAGGAGGUGACAGGCUGUGUGUUCAGUGGAGCAGAUAUUUCUUUGCCUUCUGUUAUAUCAGAAUUUAACUGACUCUUGCAUGAAUUAGCUAUUAUGUUUUUCUUUAUAUUAAAUUCAUACUUAAAAUGAAAAAAAGAUGAUAGGUUCAAAUUAUGUUACAUUUUUUGUUAAUCUUUUUAUCGUACCUCGAGGUUCCUUAGAACAUGUUGUUCUAACACUAACAAGCAGUGUGGUUUUGGACAAAUUAUUCAAUUGCUGGGCUUCAGCUUCCUGAUCUGUAAAACAGAUGAUAAUGGUACUAACUCCAGGUUUGUUGUGAGAAUUAAAUGAGUUAAUACAUGUAAGGCACUUAGAAUAGUGCCUGGCAAGUAGUGAGUAUUCCUACAUGUAGCCUGUAGUGAUCUCAGCUCACAGCAACCUCUGCCUCCCAGGCUCAUACAAUCCUUCCACCUACACCUUUUAACUA